AGUAAGUUUUAAAUUGAUUUGCACUCAAUUAAUAUGUAUAUCAUACUUGAAU
This 52-nucleotide transfer RNA is filed under the name Argiope ocula. RNAcentral's name for it is "tRNA-Ala". Lineage: Eukaryota; Metazoa; Arthropoda; Arachnida; Araneae; Araneidae. The record is from RNAcentral.